GCAGAGCACUCUACGGGAGGCAGCAGUGGGGAAUAUUGCACAAUGGGCGCAAGCCUGAUGCAGCCAUGCCGCGUGUAUGAAGAAGGCCUUCGGGUUGUAAAGUACUUUCAGCAGUGAGGAAGGUGGGUAUGUUAAUAGCAUAUUCAUUUGACGUUAGCUGCAGAAGAAGCACCGGCUAACUCCGUGCCAGCAGCCGCGGUAAUACGGAGGGUGCGAGCGUUAAUCGGAAUUACUGGGCGUAAAGCGCAUGCAGGUGGUUUGUUAAGUCAGAUGUGAAAGCCCGGGGCUCAACCUCGGAAUUGCAUUUGAAACUGGCAAACUAGAGUACUGUAGAGGGGGUAGAAUUUCAGGUGUAGCGGUGAAAUGCGUAGAGAUCUGAAGGAAUACCGGUGGCGAAGGCGGCCCCCUGGACAGAUACUGACACUCAGAUGCGAAAGCGUGGGGAGCAAACAGGAUUAGAUACCCUGGUAG
This 471-nucleotide ribosomal RNA is filed under the name uncultured bacterium. Its description in RNAcentral is "bacterial SSU rRNA". It matches the Rfam family "Bacterial small subunit ribosomal RNA", at positions 328 to 793 of the family's 1533-position model. The record is from RNAcentral.